Molecule: transfer RNA, 73 nt
Filed under: Talaromyces islandicus
Lineage: Eukaryota; Fungi; Ascomycota; Eurotiomycetes; Eurotiales; Trichocomaceae
Description: tRNA-Asn
Rfam family: tRNA
About the family: Transfer RNA (tRNA) molecules are approximately 80 nucleotides in length.
Source: RNAcentral
GUCUCCAUAGUUUAGAGGUUAUAACAUCUGACUGUUAAUCAGAAGGUCGGCAGUUCGAUCCUGCCUGGGGACG